CCUACGGGAGGCAGCAGUAGGGAAUCUUCCGCAAUGGACGAAAGUCUGACGGGGCAACGCCGCGUGAGUGAUGAAGGCUUUCGGGUCGUAAAACUCUGUUGUUAGGGAAGAACAAGUGCUAGUUGAAUAAGCUGGCACCUUGACGGUACCUAACCAGAAAGCCACGGCUAACUACGUGCCAGCAGCCGCGGUAAUACGUAGGUGGCAAGCGUUAUCCGGAAUUAUUGGGCGUAAAGCGCGCGCAGGUGGUUUCUUAAGUCUGAUGUGAAAGCCCACGGCUCAACCGUGGAGGGUCAUUGGAAACUGGGAGACUUGAGUGCAGAAGAGGAAAGUGGAAUUCCAUGUGUAGCGGUGAAAUGCGUAGAGAUAUGGAGGAACACCAGUGGCGAAGGCGACUUUCUGGUCUGUAACUGACACUGAGGCGCGAAAGCGUGGGGAGCGAACAGGAUUAGAUACCCUGGUAGUCCACGCCGUAAACGAUGAGUGCUAAGUGUUAGGGGGUUUCCGCCCCUUAGUGCUGCAGCUAACGCAUUAAGCACUCCGCCUGGGGAGUACGGUCGCAAGACUGAAACUCAAAGGAAUUGACGGA
This 589-nucleotide ribosomal RNA is filed under the name uncultured bacterium. Its description in RNAcentral is "bacterial SSU rRNA". It matches the Rfam family "Bacterial small subunit ribosomal RNA", at positions 338 to 917 of the family's 1533-position model. The record is from RNAcentral.